GAUGAACGCUGGCGGCGUGCCUAAUACAUGCAAGUCGAGCGAACGGACGAGAAGCUUGCUUCUCUGAUGUUAGCGGCGGACGGGUGAGUAACACGUGGAUAACUUACCUAUAAGACUGGGAUAACUUCGGGAAACCGGAGCUAAUACCGGAUAAUAUUUUGAACCGCAUGGUUCAAAAGUGAAAGACGGUCUUGCUGUCACUUAUAGAUGGAUCCGCGCUGCAUUAGCUAGUUGGUAAGGUAACGGCUUACCAAGGCAACGAUGCAUAGCCGACCUGAGAGGGUGAUCGGCCACACUGGAACUGAGACACGGUCCAGACUCCUACGGGAGGCAGCAGUAGGGAAUCUUCCGCAAUGGGCGAAAGCCUGACGGAGCAACGCCGCGUGAGUGAUGAAGGUCCUCGGAUCGUAAAACUCUGUUAUUAGGGAAGAACAUAUGUGUAAGUAACUGUGCACAUCUUGACGGUACCUAAUCAGAAAGCCACGGCUAACUACGUG
RNAcentral lists this ribosomal RNA (497 nucleotides) under uncultured bacterium. Its description in RNAcentral is "partial 16S ribosomal RNA". It matches the Rfam family "Bacterial small subunit ribosomal RNA", at positions 28 to 507 of the family's 1533-position model. The record is from RNAcentral.